This 265-nucleotide signal recognition particle RNA is filed under the name bacterium 1xD8-6. RNAcentral describes it as "Bacterial large signal recognition particle RNA". It matches the Rfam family "Bacterial large signal recognition particle RNA". From Rfam's summary of the family: The signal recognition particle (SRP) is a universally conserved ribonucleoprotein involved in the co-translational targeting of proteins to membranes. RNAcentral also lists the same sequence under 1 other name. The record is from Rfam by way of RNAcentral.
CCGUGCUAGCCGGGGAGUUAGCGGUGCCCUGUACCUGCAAUCCGCUAUAGCAGGGGUGAUGUUCUGUUUCGGAGUUAUUAUCGGCAAAGCUGCCCAAUGUAUGAGGUGUUGACGUUUUGGUCUUGCGCAAUGGAAACUCAUGAACCGUGUCAGGAGGGGAACCUAGCAGCACUAAGUGAGACCUUUCGUGUGCCGCAAGGUUGCCGGAGCCGAGCUGUCAGCGUUGGUAACGUUUGGGGUGAUUUCUUCAACACAGAGCGCACGG